RNAcentral lists this non-coding RNA (24 nucleotides) under Arabidopsis thaliana (thale cress). Lineage: Eukaryota; Viridiplantae; Streptophyta; Magnoliopsida; Brassicales; Brassicaceae. The record is from RNAcentral.
ACGGUGUGACGAAGAUGAAUCGGU